ACUAUACUGAAAAGCUAGCAGCCCGGCACCAACCAUGUCCAAUAUGAAAAAGAAAGCAGUAAUGAAGGUGGGCAUGAAGACUCCAGAGGACAAGAUAGAUAUCAUGAAGGUUGUUGCUAAGCUCAAGGGAGUUGAACAUGUAACCUUGGACGGUGAGAGACAAAAACCAACGGUGAUCGGAGAGGUGAAUCCUUGUCUGAUUGCGAAGAAGGUUUUGAACAGGAUUUUUUUUGUCUGGAACCGAGACAAGUACCAGAACCGUACCUGGUACCUCACGUGUACCGAAUGAUACCGGAACCGAAAUAC
Molecule: long non-coding RNA, 306 nt
Organism: Papaver somniferum (opium poppy)
Lineage: Eukaryota; Viridiplantae; Streptophyta; Magnoliopsida; Ranunculales; Papaveraceae
Exons: 4
Source: RefSeq, a predicted model, not a curated record